Molecule: ribosomal RNA, 483 nt
Filed under: uncultured bacterium
Lineage: Bacteria
Description: partial 16S ribosomal RNA
Rfam family: Bacterial small subunit ribosomal RNA
Source: RNAcentral
AUUGAACGCUGGCGGCAGGCCUAACACAUGCAAGUCGAGCGGAUGAAGGGAGCUUGCUCCUGGAUUCAGCGGCGGACGGGUGAGUAAUGCCUAGGAAUCUGCCUGGUAGUGGGGGAUAACGUCCGGAAACGGGCGCUAAUACCGCAUACGUCCUGAGGGAGAAAGUGGGGGAUCUUCGGACCUCACGCUAUCAGAUGAGCCUAGGUCGGAUUAGCUAGUUGGUGGGGUAAAGGCCUACCAAGGCGACGAUCCGUAACUGGUCUGAGAGGAUGAUCAGUCACACUGAAACUAGGACACGGUCCAGCCUCCUACGGGAGGCAGCGGGGGGGAAUAUUGGACAAUGGGCGAAAGCCUGAUCCAGCCAUGCCGCGGGUGUGAAGAGGGUCUUCGGAUUGUAAAGCACUUUAGGUUGGGAGGAAGGGCAGUAAGUUAAUACCUGUCUGUUUGGACGUUACCAACAGAAUAAGCACCGGCUAACUUCGU